GCCAGGUGCAGUGGCACACCCUGUUGUCCCAGCUACAUGGGAGGCUGAGGCAGGAGGAUGGCUUGAGUCCAAGAGUUCUGGGCCAUAGUGUGCUAUGUCCAUCAGGUGUCUGUUUGCACUAAAUUCUGCAUCAAUAUGGUGACCUCCUGGGAGCUGGGGGACCACCAGGUUGCCUAAGGAGAGGUGAACUAGCCCAGGUUGGGAACUGAGCAGGUCAAAACUCCUGUGCUGAUCAGUAGUAGAAUUGUGCCUGUGAAUAGCCACUGCACUCCAGCCUGGACAACGUAGUAAGACCCUGUCUCCU
Molecule: unclassified non-coding RNA, 304 nt
Organism: Gorilla gorilla gorilla (western lowland gorilla)
Lineage: Eukaryota; Metazoa; Chordata; Mammalia; Primates; Hominidae
Rfam family: Metazoan signal recognition particle RNA
About the family: The signal recognition particle (SRP) is a universally conserved ribonucleoprotein.
Source: Ensembl